RNAcentral lists this ribosomal RNA (3011 nucleotides) under Salmonella enterica subsp. enterica serovar Typhimurium. RNAcentral describes it as "23S ribosomal RNA". It matches the Rfam family "Bacterial large subunit ribosomal RNA". The record is from RNAcentral. Lineage: Bacteria; Pseudomonadati; Pseudomonadota; Gammaproteobacteria; Enterobacterales; Enterobacteriaceae.
GGGUUGUGAGGUUAAGCGACUAAGCGUACACGGUGGAUGCCCUGGCAGUCAGAGGCGAUGAAGGACGUGCUAAUCUGCGAUAAGCGCCGGUAAGGUGAUAUGAACCGUUAUAACCGGCGAUUUCCGAAUGGGGAAACCCAGUGUGAUUCGUCACACUAUCAUUAACUGAAUCCAUAGGUUAAUGAGGCGAACCGGGGGAACUGAAACAUCUAAGUACCCCGAGGAAAAGAAAUCAACCGAGAUUCCCCCAGUAGCGGCGAGCGAACGGGGAGGAGCCCAGAGCCUGAAUCAGCAUGUGUGUUAGUGGAAGCGUCUGGAAAGGCGCGCGAUACAGGGUGACAGCCCCGUACACAAAAGCGCAUGUGCUGUGAGCUCGAUGAGUAGGGCGGGACACGUGGUAUCCUGUCUGAAUAUGGGGGGACCAUCCUCCAAGGCUAAAUACUCCUGACUGACCGAUAGUGAACCAGUACCGUGAGGGAAAGGCGAAAAGAACCCCGGCGAGGGGAGUGAAAAAGAACCUGAAACCGUGUACGUACAAGCAGUGGGAGCACCCUUCGGGGUGUGACUGCGUACCUUUUGUAUAAUGGGUCAGCGACUUAUAUUCUGUAGCAAGGUUAACCGUAUAGGGGAGCCGGAGGGAAACCGAGUCUUAACCGGGCGUUAAGUUGCAGGGUAUAGACCCGAAACCCGGUGAUCUAGCCAUGGGCAGGUUGAAGGUUGGGUAACACUAACUGGAGGACCGAACCGACUAAUGUUGAAAAAUUAGCGGAUGACCUGUGGCUGGGGGUGAAAGGCCAAUCAAACCGGGAGAUAGCUGGUUCUCCCCGAAAGCUAUUUAGGUAGCGCCUCGUGAAUUCAUCUCCGGGGGUAGAGCACUGUUUCGGCUAGGGGGCCAUCCCGGCUUACCAACCCGAUGCAAACUGCGAAUACCGGAGAAUGUUAUCACGGGAGACACACGGCGGGUGCUAACGUCCGUCGUGAAGAGGGAAACAACCCAGACCGCCAGCUAAGGUCCCAAAGUCAUGGUUAAGUGGGAAACGAUGUGGGAAGGCCCAGACAGCCAGGAUGUUGGCUUAGAAGCAGCCAUCAUUUAAAGAAAGCGUAAUAGCUCACUGGUCGAGUCGGCCUGCGCGGAAGAUGUAACGGGGCUAAACCAUGCACCGAAGCUGCGGCAGCGAACGUAUCACCCAAGACAACUUUACGGAGUUGACGAUUGACGGAGCGAAGCGACGUCAAAGCGUUCAUUAAAGUCGAGUUGGCUUAGGGAUACGUUCGUUGGGUAGGGGAGCGUUCUGUAAGCCUGCGAAGGUGACCUGUGAGGGUUGCUGGAGGUAUCAGAAGUGCGAAUGCUGACAUAAGUAACGAUAAAGCGGGUGAAAAGCCCGCUCGCCGGAAGACCAAGGGUUCCUGUCCAACGUUAAUCGGGGCAGGGUGAGUCGACCCCUAAGGCGAGGCCGAAAGGCGUAGUCGAUGGGAAACGGGUUAAUAUUCCCGUACUUGGUGUUACUGCGAAGGGGGGACGGAGAAGGCUAUGUUGGCCGGGCGACGGUUGUCCCGGUUUAAGCGUGUAGGUGUGUGUUCCAGGUAAAUCCGGUUCACUUUAACACUGAGGCGUGACGACGAGGCACUACGGUGCUGAAGCAACAAAUGCCCUGCUUCCAGGAAAAGCCUCUAAGCAUCAGGUAACAUCAAAUCGUACCCCAAACCGACACAGGUGGUCAGGUAGAGAAUACCAAGGCGCUUGAGAGAACUCGGGUGAAGGAACUAGGCAAAAUGGUGCCGUAACUUCGGGAGAAGGCACGCUGACACGUAGGUGAAGUGAUUUACUCACGGAGCUGAAGUCAGUCGAAGAUACCAGCUGGCUGCAACUGUUUAUUAAAAACACAGCACUGUGCAAACACGAAAGUGGACGUAUACGGUGUGACGCCUGCCCGGUGCCGGAAGGUUAAUUGAUGGGGUCAGCGCAAGCGAAGCUCCUGAUCGAAGCCCCGGUAAACGGCGGCCGUAACUAUAACGGUCCUAAGGUAGCGAAAUUCCUUGUCGGGUAAGUUCCGACCUGCACGAAUGGCGUAAUGAUGGCCAGGCUGUCUCCACCCGAGACUCAGUGAAAUUGAACUCGCUGUGAAGAUGCAGUGUACCCGCGGCAAGACGGAAAGACCCCGUGAACCUUUACUAUAGCUUGACACUGAACAUUGAGCCUUGAUGUGUAGGAUAGGUGGGAGGCUUUGAAGUGUGGACGCCAGUCUGCAUGGAGCCGACCUUGAAAUACCACCCUUUAAUGUUUGAUGUUCUAACGUGGACCCGUAAUCCGGGUUGCGGACAGUGUCUGGUGGGUAGUUUGACUGGGGCGGUCUCCUCCUAAAGAGUAACGGAGGAGCACGAAGGUUGGCUAAUCCUGGUCGGACAUCAGGAGGUUAGUGCAAUGGCAUAAGCCAGCUUGACUGCGAGCGUGACGGCGCGAGCAGGUGCGAAAGCAGGUCAUAGUGAUCCGGUGGUUCUGAAUGGAAGGGCCAUCGCUCAACGGAUAAAAGGUACUCCGGGGAUAACAGGCUGAUACCGCCCAAGAGUUCAUAUCGACGGCGGUGUUUGGCACCUCGAUGUCGGCUCAUCACAUCCUGGGGCUGAAGUAGGUCCCAAGGGUAUGGCUGUUCGCCAUUUAAAGUGGUACGCGAGCUGGGUUUAGAACGUCGUGAGACAGUUCGGUCCCUAUCUGCCGUGGGCGCUGGAGAACUGAGGGGGGCUGCUCCUAGUACGAGAGGACCGGAGUGGACGCAUCACUGGUGUUCGGGUUGUCAUGCCAAUGGCACUGCCCGGUAGCUAAAUGCGGAAGAGAUAAGUGCUGAAAGCAUCUAAGCACGAAACUUGCCCCGAGAUGAGUUCUCCCUGAGACUUUAGGUCUCCUGAAGGAACGUUGAAGACGACGACGUUGAUAGGCCGGGUGUGUAAGCGCAGCGAUGCGUUGAGCUAACCGGUACUAAUGAACCGUGAGGCUUAACCUUACAACGCCGAAG